RNAcentral lists this transfer RNA (84 nucleotides) under Oscillospiraceae bacterium. Its description in RNAcentral is "tRNA-Leu". It matches the Rfam family "tRNA". Rfam says of the family: Transfer RNA (tRNA) molecules are approximately 80 nucleotides in length. Their secondary structure includes four short double-helical elements and three loops (D, anti-codon, and T loops). Lineage: Bacteria; Bacillati; Bacillota; Clostridia; Eubacteriales; Oscillospiraceae. The record is from RNAcentral.
GCGAGAGUGUUGGAAUGGUAGACAAUCACGUUUGAGGUGCGUGUGGUGAAUGCCGUGUGGGUUCGAGUCCCAUCUCUCGCACCA